Molecule: non-coding RNA, 23 nt
Filed under: Rattus norvegicus (Norway rat)
Lineage: Eukaryota; Metazoa; Chordata; Mammalia; Rodentia; Muridae
Source: RNAcentral
AUAAGACAUUUGUAGCCUGGUGU